Arabidopsis thaliana (thale cress) is the source of this 314-nucleotide long non-coding RNA. RefSeq annotates it as other RNA. The transcript has a single exon. The record is from RefSeq. NCBI's taxonomy places the organism in Eukaryota, Viridiplantae, Streptophyta, Magnoliopsida, Brassicales, Brassicaceae.
AGGUUGAUGGGCUCAGAAUGUAUGACUCUAACAGUGGUCAUAUGUGGUGAUUCUUUUGAUUUUCUUGAAAAGCUUCUACGUAUUGAAGUAACAAUAUUUUUUUCCUUCAGAUAAUCAAGAGUGAGGACAACAAACUUAGUGAUGGAGGUGGAGGUGUCAAACCAUUUAGAAAUAAGAAACCAUGAAGAUUCUAAAGAUUUUGUUUUAAUCGAUUAGAGAAUGAAAAUUUUGGUAUUUUAUCGACAUGAGUUGGAGCAUGGGUUGUUUUGUAUUUAUUUUUAUUGUAGAAUUUUCUCUCAUUCUGUAAUUUGUCU